GCUCCAUCUCCUCCUCUCGCAGGUCUACACCGCCAUCCACUGGUGCUAUUAAGGAACUGGCAGCACUGGACCCUGGGUCAAAUGAAGAGAGUGUACAGAUUCUGACUCAGGGUGGGAUGUUUUUGGAGACAGGAAGUUGCAGAUAGCCAGGUCCAGCAUGGCAACUCUACAGGAUGUUGACAGCAUGGGCACAGCACAGAGCAGACAGGACUCCUACUACUGCUGCUGAUAGAAGUGAUUUGCUCCCAUCUACCUGUGGUCCAGGCCAGUCCCACUGACCUUUUAGGCAACCGUCAAGCCAGGAAAAAGAUGGAGA
Long non-coding RNA from Etheostoma cragini (Arkansas darter), 316 nucleotides. RefSeq lists it as uncharacterized. NCBI's taxonomy places the organism in Eukaryota, Metazoa, Chordata, Actinopteri, Perciformes, Percidae. The record is from RefSeq and is a predicted model, not a curated record. The transcript has 3 exons.